CCACAUCAACAGAACUACCAGACAUCUCAGUAUUCUCCCAAACAGCAGAUUUCUCAGUCAGCUUACCAGUCACCACCUAGGUCUCAAUGUUCUUCACCCUUCAGCUUUCCUCAUCAUCAAGUACAGCCUUCCCAGUUGGGCCACCCAAGUAGUCACAUCUUUGUGCCACCUAAUCAGGACCUCCUGGCUGUCAGAAACAGUGAAAUCAUUCAGUAGCAUAUAUCCAAUACACAACAUCUAGCUUGCACAGAGGAUUCAUGAAAAAGACAGAAAUUAUGGUUUAACCUUCUCAAAGACCUGGAACAGUAAUUAAUAGCUGUCCUUCACCCAUCAGUAAUCAACUUUCCCCAUGUAAUUGGCGUUCUCUCUAUGCAGGCACUGUAACACCUUGAAGUUCUUCAAGGGGAAUGUAUAGUCAAUCAAAGCCUUCAAUGAAUGUGAAUCCCAUGCAUAUUACAUAUACACAACGAAGUGGACCUUCAUGUGCCCUAUCACAGUCUCCUCAGAUAAUACCACAUCUAUCUGCAGUUUUAAAAAUUACUGUAGGUGGAGCAACAACUGAAAAUCUUUUAAAUUUCAUGGACCAAGAUGAAUAGUUGGCAGCGCCAGAACCCGUUCAGCCAAUUUUAGUGACUCCAGGUCCUGGAGGAAAAAAGAGACAGUUUAACCAUAUUCACCAGACUGCUCUCCUACUCCUGACCUCAAGUGAUCUAUCUGCCUCUGUUCCCAAAGUGUUGACAUUACAAGCAUGAGCCACAGCGUCCAGCUUGGAGUUAGAAAGAGACCAGUAUGAAUUUGAAAGAUGUAUUAGCCAUAAACUAUUUUUAAUGCUUCUGAAUUUUAUUUAAUGUAA
Molecule: long non-coding RNA, 853 nt
Filed under: Homo sapiens (human)
Lineage: Eukaryota; Metazoa; Chordata; Mammalia; Primates; Hominidae
Description: novel transcript
Source: RNAcentral